AGCGAACGCUGGCGGCAGGCCUAACACAUGCAAGUCGAACGAACCUUUCGGGGUUAGUGGCGGACGGGUGAGUAACACGUGGGAACGUGCCUUUAGGUUCGGAAUAACUCAGGGAAACUUGUGCUAAUACCGAAUGUGCCCUUCGGGGGAAAGAUUUAUCGCCUUUAGAGCGGCCCGCGUCUGAUUAGCUAGUUGGUUGAGGUAAUGGCUCACCAAGGCGACGAUCAGUAGCUGGUCUGAGAGGAUGAUCAGCCACAUUGGGACUGAGACACGGCCCAAACUCCUAUGUGAGGCAGCAGUGGGGAAUCUUGCGCAAUGGGCGAAAGCCUGACGCAGCCAUGCCGCGUGAAUGAUGAAGGUCUUAGGAUUGUAAAAUUCUUUCACCGGGGACGAUAAUGACGGUACCCGGAGAAGAAGCCCCGGCUAACUUCGUG
Molecule: ribosomal RNA, 434 nt
Filed under: uncultured bacterium
Lineage: Bacteria
Description: partial 16S ribosomal RNA
Rfam family: Bacterial small subunit ribosomal RNA
Source: RNAcentral